UUUCCUCAUCCAUACUCAUCAAGUUCAAAUGACAACUGAAAAUUUUUCAUAAAUGGACCAAAUCAGCAAGCUGGCUGGGUUUUGAUGCCGGAUUGAAAAGUAACGUAUUCUAUACCUAAUGGCUACCUGAGAUGAUAUCAAAUGAUAAGUAAAAUACAGUAUCAACAUCAUAUAAUAAAUCAACUAGGACGAUGAAUCUCAAGUUCAGAGCUCUGUUAUCUCUGUCGUGGAGAACACAAUAUUCUCAAGAAUGAGAACCUUCAACAGUUGAAUUUAACUGGUUCCCUCCCCCAAAAGCCUGAGCUCUA
Molecule: long non-coding RNA, 308 nt
Filed under: Vitis vinifera (wine grape)
Lineage: Eukaryota; Viridiplantae; Streptophyta; Magnoliopsida; Vitales; Vitaceae
Description: long non-coding RNA (VVIN_LNC002592)
Source: RNAcentral